Molecule: RNA transcript, 1222 nt
Organism: Hordeum vulgare subsp. vulgare (domesticated barley)
Lineage: Eukaryota; Viridiplantae; Streptophyta; Magnoliopsida; Poales; Poaceae
Exons: 3
Source: RefSeq, a predicted model, not a curated record
GCACUGAAGUUACUUUGCUUCUUCUGAUGGUCUUGACGGCGUACUCUGCUUCUGUCGGUGGAAGAUUGCCGUCCUCAGCAACUUAUGUGUGCCCUCUGCUUCUGAUGGUCUUCAAGGCACCGCUGCUGCUCCGAAGCUGCAGCACCAUGUCGCCUGCUUUUAAACGUCUGGAGGAGUAGAUUUGCUGCUGAUAUUUAUCCUACAGGAGAAGAAUUGCCAAUUCAGACUUGCACAUGGAUUGUCCUGUGGUUUCUCCUGUUGUGAUGUGUAGAAUUGGUGGCUUGCAUGUGUGAUUUGCUCCUGAUCUUUAUUCAAAGCAGAGUGGUGCUCCUCUGAAUAUUUUGCUGCUCUGAAUUAACAGGUGUGGAAUCCCGCCAGGCGUGGCUCUGCAGCGUCGGGUUCGCCCAGUUCCCCGACGACCGCGCUGUGUGGGUCGCUGAGACGCCGCUUCCGGAGAAGAAGUCUACGACAUUCGCCGCCCGCCGCCCACCUGUACAUCAGGAAGAGCUCUGUACUUGUUAUCACCGGCAGCAACACGAGAUGAGGACCUCCGGCGACGCAACACGAGCAGGGGACAAGCGGCAAGUUGCAGAGGAGCAGCAAGUUACUGAAAAUUCAGUUUACUGGAUAAUGUUUCAACCAGAACAUGAAUUAAGAUGCAAGAAUCAUCAAGUUGAUAGCAGUCAAUGCAAAAUUACAGACUGGAUGAUCCGCUGCUGCUCUAAUUUGACAUCAGUUUGGUCACCUGCGAGCUAGGUCAAUCUAUUUUGUAGCAGCAGAGGCGGCGAGGAGGAGCUGGGUCGCCUCGACAAAGAAGAAGAAGAAGAAAUCGAGGAGGAGGACAGAUAGACGGCGGUGGUUGCCUAUGUAGCAGGUGGGCGGCGGCGCUGCGCCUGACGGUGGAUGCGGUAGUCACCCUCGAUGGACGACGGUGGAGUAGCGGCGGCCUGGAUCUUGCCCAACUCCGGCACCGGAUUGGUUGGACUUGGUGGGCCGGGGAUGCGAGCAGGACGACGGAGGUGGAAGACGGGUCGAUUAGCAAGAGAUUUAAUAGAAUAAGGGUGUUUUUGUAGAAUUGAAAAUGUACUAAGCUGAGGACAUUUUUUUUCCGGACGGAGGGAGUAUUAACUUUAAUAUAAAUUUGUAUUAAGACCGACACACUUAUUUUAGGACGGAGGGAGGGAGUAAGUUUUAAACUGCCCUCCACUGAUCAUUGUAAAAA